Molecule: long non-coding RNA, 344 nt
Organism: Sinocyclocheilus anshuiensis
Lineage: Eukaryota; Metazoa; Chordata; Actinopteri; Cypriniformes; Cyprinidae
Exons: 3
Source: RefSeq, a predicted model, not a curated record
GGCGGAGUCGCUCACCGUUCCGUUACAAGGGUCCGUUUCUCCCGGUUGUGUUCAGUGCAGCAGCUGCGAGGAUCUGAGGAAACUCACUCACUCACUCACCCUCCCGUGUCUCGGAUACUUUACGGUCCCGCCCGGUCUCCAGUCACCCGCUCGGGAGCAGAGAACCGUCCCGUCUUGAGAUGAUGCCGAGUCUCGGUCUGUUCGUGUCUCUGGUGGUUCUGACGGUGUCCGUUACCGGCAGCAGUGACGGAAACCCGCUGGACAAUGAUAAGUGGAUGAGCACCGUGUCCCAGUACGACAAAAGCAAAUACUGGAACAAAUUCCGCGACGUGAUCACUUCAGAG